RNAcentral lists this long non-coding RNA (298 nucleotides) under Pan troglodytes (chimpanzee). Its description in RNAcentral is "long non-coding RNA NONPTRT015952". The record is from RNAcentral. Lineage: Eukaryota; Metazoa; Chordata; Mammalia; Primates; Hominidae.
CGCCUCACUAGGGCGACCCCUGGUGGCGGGAGGUCCUCAGCCCUCACCGGCCUGUCCCGCAGGCCGCCUGUGAGACCUUCUGUGUGGGAGAGGAUGCCAAGGCCGCCGCCCGAGACAUCUUCAGCCCCAAACGGAGCUGGAAGCGCCAGAGGUACCGGCUGAGCGCCCAGGCCGAGGGCCUGCAGUUGCUGCCAGGUCUGAUCCACGUGCACAGGCGGAAGAUGUUCCAGGCUACAAUCCGCUCAGUGGAAAACCUGCAAAGCAGCAAGUCCACGUGAGGACGACGGCUUUACCGCCC